UACGGAAGGCAGCAGUGGGGAAUAUUGGACAAUGGGCGAAAGCCUGAUCCAGCCAUGCCGCAUGAGUGAAGAAGGCCUUCGGGUUGUAAAGCUCUUUUAGUGAGAAAGAUAAUGACGGUACUCACAGAAGAAGUCCUGGCUAACUCCGUGCCAGCAGCCGCGGUAAUACGGAGAGGGCUAGCGUUAUUCGGAAUUAUUGGGCGUAAAGAGCGCGUAGGUGGUUUUUUAAGUCAGAUGUGAAAUCCCUGGGCUUAACCUAGGAACUGCAUUUUGAAACUGAAAUACUAGAGUAUCGUAGAGGGAGGUAGAAUUCUAGGUGUAGCGGUGAAAUGCGUAGAUAUCUGGAGGAAUACCUGUGGCGAAAGCGGCUCCUAAACGAUACUGACACUGAGGUGCGAAAGCGUGGGGAGCGAAACAGGGAUUAGAUACCCGU
RNAcentral lists this ribosomal RNA (433 nucleotides) under uncultured bacterium. Its description in RNAcentral is "bacterial SSU rRNA". It matches the Rfam family "Bacterial small subunit ribosomal RNA", at positions 340 to 789 of the family's 1533-position model. The record is from RNAcentral.